RNAcentral lists this non-coding RNA (28 nucleotides) under Rattus norvegicus (Norway rat). Lineage: Eukaryota; Metazoa; Chordata; Mammalia; Rodentia; Muridae. The record is from RNAcentral.
UUGGUGAACUGUGAAUUGCACAACUUCA